RNAcentral lists this ribosomal RNA (208 nucleotides) under uncultured bacterium. RNAcentral's name for it is "partial 16S ribosomal RNA". It matches the Rfam family "Bacterial small subunit ribosomal RNA", at positions 1293 to 1500 of the family's 1533-position model. The record is from RNAcentral.
UCGGAUUGCAGGCUGCAACCCGCCUGUAUGAAGUUGGAAUCGCUAGUAAUCGCGGAUCAGCAUGCCGCGGUGAAUACGUUCCCGGGCCUUGUACACACCGCCCGUCACACCAUGAGAGUCGGGAACACCCGAAGUCCGUAGCCUAACCGCAAGGGGGGCGCGGCCGAAGGUGGGUUCGAUAAUUGGGGUGAAGUCGUAACAAGGUAUC